This 404-nucleotide ribosomal RNA is filed under the name uncultured Staphylococcus sp. RNAcentral's name for it is "bacterial SSU rRNA". It matches the Rfam family "Bacterial small subunit ribosomal RNA", at positions 61 to 458 of the family's 1533-position model. The record is from RNAcentral. Lineage: Bacteria; Bacillati; Bacillota; Bacilli; Caryophanales; Staphylococcaceae.
GUCGAGCGAACGGACAGAAGCUUGCUUCUCUGAUGUAGCGGCGGACGGGUAGUAACACGUGAUAACCUACCUAUAAGACUGGGAUAACUUCGGGAAACCGGAGCUAAUACCGGAUAAUAUUUUGAACCGCAUGGUUCAAAAGUGAAAGACGGUCUUGCUGUCACUUAUAGAUGGAUCCGCGCUGCAUUAGCUAGUUGGUAAGGUAACGGCUUACCAAGGCAACGAUGCAUAGCCGACCUGAGAGGGUGAUCGGCCACACUGGAACUGAGACACGGUCCAGACUCCUACGGGAGGCAGCAGUAGGGAAUCUUCCGCAAUGGGCGAAAGCCUGACGGAGCAACGCCGCGUGAGUGAUGAAGGUCUUCGGAUCGUAAAACUCUGUUAUUAGGGAAGAACAUAUGUGU